This 437-nucleotide ribosomal RNA is filed under the name uncultured bacterium. RNAcentral's name for it is "bacterial SSU rRNA". It matches the Rfam family "Bacterial small subunit ribosomal RNA", at positions 485 to 918 of the family's 1533-position model. The record is from RNAcentral.
AAUAAGCAUCGGCUAACCCUGUGCCAGCAGCCGCGGUAAUACAGGGGAUGCAAGUGUUAUCCGGAAUUAUUGGGCGUAAAGCGUCUGCAGGUUGAUAUUUAAGUCUUUUGUUAAACCUUCGGGCUCAACCCGGAAUCUGCAAAGGAAACUAUAUAUCUUGAGUAUGGUAGGGGUAAAGGGAAUUUCCAGUGGAGCGGUGAAAUGCGUAGAUAUUGGAAAGAACACCAACAGCGAAGGCACUUUACUGGGCCAGUACUGACACUCAGAGACGAAAGCUAGGGGAGCAAACAGGAUUAGAUACCCUGGUAGUCCUAGCUGUAAACGAUGGAUACUAGAUGUUGUGUACCUUCGGGUAUGCAGUGUCGUAGCUAACGCGUUAAGUAUCCCCCCCUGGGGAAGUAUGCUCNCAAGANUGAAACUCAAAGGAAUUGACGGGG